UGGCAACUAUUAACAUUACAAGGGUGAGUCUUGUGGGUGUGGAAAGGAAGGCCCCCUGUGGAGCUGAUUUCUUGGUUCAGCUUUGCAAGUGCAAGGAGGGUGAUCUGAAAAAGUCUGGGAGUGAUAGUUGGCCUAUAGGCUUGUAAAAGGUUGGCCAUAUUAUGCCUCAAACCCUAAGCUCAGUCAAAGUGAAACUUGUGUUAUAGUCUUGGUGAUAACAGUACUAUUCAGUCAAUGAGAACAGCAAGCAGUAAAAAAAAAAAAAAAAAGGAUGCUAGACAAUUGUGGAUAAUCUCAAACCCACAGUAGCCCUUCCCCAUCAUAUGCCUGCUCUGCAAGGUAGCUCAAAAUGAAUAUAUGACAAGUCUCAAAUGUUUUUUCCCACUCUACCUCUGUAGCAGGACAGGCAGAGACAGAAACAUUGUGAAAAAUGUCAUGGGGCUCACCCCUUCCUAUUAGAAUGUAAGCUCUCUGAGGCACAGAUUUCUUUUAUUCUCUUUGAUGUCUUCCAGAGCUGAAAACAUUUCCAGCCAAUAGUAGAUACUCAAUAAAUAAUUCUUGAACUUUUGGGGAAAAAAAAAAUGAGCAAGAUGCUCUUGUUUUAUGAUGCCUGUUCUCAACGACCAAUACCUUCUAGAAUUGAUCUACACCCCUAGUCCAGACUUUUGAGAGCAUCCUGGGUGCUAGGAAAGACUCCACUGUGAACCUAGGAUUCUGUUUGUGUCUGAGCCUGGUGCCCAAGACCUUAAUCCCCAGGGCAGCUCCUUAAUCUUCUCUUAACCAUGGGAGGCUGGGUUUUGAGGCCUGAAGCAGUAGCGUAAGACUUGAUAAACCAGCUAGGAAUAGGGGCAAGGCACCAGCAUGAGGACAUGAAGAGUUUCACCCUAGCUGCCCAAGGAUGCUUUUACCCAAGAGUCUUUUGAUUUCUCAUUGGAAUUUUCCCCUCUGAUCUCACUGAGAAGCUCAAAAAACAGGUACUAACCCAGUACAUAGAAAUUGGCAUGGGGAUUUACUUAACAGUCUUUGGAGAAGGGUUGAUGUUGUCUUAGGGUUUGCAAAGCAGCGUUCUCUCCCUAGUCCCCAAAACACACCUCACCAAAAUUGUGUGCAAUCACAGUUACCACUCAGUUUAGCAAAGCAAGAGCAAAUCUUGACUACCAAAGGCUCCAGGCCUCACAUGAGUCAUCAUUCAGCUCUGUGCAUACAGCCCAGAUGUAAUUCACACAGGCAUAUAGCUGUCGGCUAUGUUCUUGUACACAUAUGGACCUGCUUCCUGGAAUCAGAAAAAGCAGGCUUUACCUGUGACUUCUGCCAGGUUACCCUUCCCCAUCCCCCCCUGCCCCCCAAUAUGAAACCUGGCUGGAAGUAUUUCCUUGGUACUGUGAAGUUGGGCUAGGGAUUGGGAACCUAGCUGCUCACUUGCCAGGGUCACAGGUACACUGUGCUCAAUUGACUGAGCUUCUGCCUCAGCUUCUCUAUGAGGGUUCUUAAUCACAGAACCCAUUCCAAGCUCAUUCCAUUCAGCCCCUUGCCUCCUGGCAGCUCACUGCUAAAUAAUCCAAGAGAAACAUUUAGAUAUCUCCAUUACCAGAGAUCCCCAGAGAUAUUUUAUACAACAUACAAGCUUAUGGAAUCAUUUUACUGAUUUAUAUUUUUUCUCCCACAUAAACAAAAUUCCUCUUGGAAAAACUAAAUCUUAUUAUUCGCCACAGUUCUUUAGUCAGCAGUGAGUUCUAGGUCCAGCUCAGAGUUUCAGUUUUUCCCUUUUCUUUUUAGUCUGCUUCUCCAAGUACUUCAUCUCUGGGUAAGAGUGUCACACAUCUCUGAAUCCCCCUUGUCUCACAGACAAAAAGUUCACCUCUUUGUCCGACAUGUUUCUAUCAUGAUUGCUGCCCAAUUUUCUCAUCUCUGCUUGCUUCUGCCCCCACAUCAGUGGCAUCCAUCAUAAAGCCUAGUGCUUCUGAAUUUUUUCUUUCUUCACACAUCUUCCCCUCAGGGCAAGCUUUCUCUCUUUUGCCUACGAAUGUUUUGGUUAGUCAGUGCAUGCCACAGUGUACUUUCAUUCCCUCCUCCUGUAUUAAUGGGCAUCACUUAGGUUGCUUCCAUAUCUUGACUAUUGUAAAUAAUGCUGCUAUGAACGUUGAGGUGGUUAUAUCUUUUUGAAUUAGUGUUUUCAUUUUUUUCAGAUAUAUACUCAGGAGUGGAAUUGCUGGGUAAUAAGGUAGUUCUAUUUCUAGUUUUUUGAGGAAACUCCAUACUAUUUUCCAUAGUGGCUGCACCGAUUUAUACUCCCACCAACAGUUUACAAAUGUUCCCUUUCCUCCACAUCCUCGCCAGCAUUUGUGGCCUGUAGCCCCCCUUCACCGCAACUAGAGAAAGCCUGAGCACAGCAACAAAGACCCAAUGCAGCCAAAGAUAAAUAAAGAAAUAAGUAUUUAAAAACAACAACAACAACCACAUGGUACUGGCACAAAAACACACAUGUAGAUCAAUGGAACAGAAAAAAACGCAUGCACCUAUGGUCAAUUAAUCUACGACAAAGGAGGCAAGGAUGUACAAUGGAGAAAAGACAGUCUCUUCAACAAAUGGUGAUGGGAAAACUGGACAGCCACAUGUAAAACAAUGAAAUUAGAACAUUUCCUCACACCAUAUACAAAAAUAAACUCAAAAUGGAUUAGAGACCUAAAUGUAAGACCGGACACUAUAAAACUCUUAGAGGAAAAUGUAGGAAGAACACUCUUUGACAUAAAUCACAGCAAGAUCUUUUUUGGUCCACCUCCUAGAGUAAUGGAACUAAAAACAAAAAUAAACAAAUGGGACCUAAUGAAACUUAAAAGCUUUUGUAAAGCAAAGGAAACUACAAAGAAGAUGAAAAGACAACCCUCAGAAUGGGAGAAAAUAUUUGCAAAUGAAUCAAUGGACAAAGGAUUAAUCUCCAAAAUAUAUAAACAGCUCAAGCAGCUCAAUAUUAAAAAAACAAACAACUCAAUCCAAAAAUGGGCAGAAGACCUAAAUAGGCAUUUCUCCAAAGAAGACAUACAGAUGGCCAAGCAGCACAUGAAAAGCUGCUCAACAUCACUAAUUAUUAGAGAAAUGCAAAUCAAAACUACAAUGAGGUAUCACCUCACACCAGUUAGAAUGGACAUCAUCAGAAAAUCUGCAAACAACAAAAGCUGGAGAGGGUGAGGAGAAAAGGGAACCCUCUUGCACUGUUGGUAGGAAUGUAAAUUGAUACAGCCACUAUGGAAGACAGUAUGGUGGUUGCUUAAAAAACUAAAAAUAAGGACAUCCCCGGUAGCGCAGUGGUUAAGAAUCAGCCUGCCAAUGCAGGGGACAAGGGUUCAAGCCCUGGUCAGAUCCCACAUGCUGUGAAGCAACUAAGCCCAUGCGCCACAACUACUAAGCCCGCGCUCUAGAGCCCUAAGCCACAACUACUGAAGCCCACAUGCCUAGAGCCUGUGCUCCACAACAAGAGAAGCCACCACGAUGAGAAGCCCACGUACUGCAACGAUGAGUAGCCCCCGCUUGCCGCAACUAGAGAAAGCCCACGCGCAGCAACAAAGACCCAACGCAGCCAAAAGAAACCUAAAAAUAGAAUUACCAUAUGACCCAGCAAUCCCACUACUGGGCAUAUACCCAGAGAAAACCAUAAUUCAAAAAGACAUAUGCACCCCAAUGUUCAUUGCAGCACUACUUACAAUAGCCAGGUCAUGGAAGCAACCUACAUGCCCAUCGACAGACGAAUGGAUAAAGAAGUUGUGGUACAUAUAUACAAUGGAAUAUUACUCAGCCAUAAAAAGGAACGAAAUUGGGCCAUUUGUAGAGACGUGGAUGGAUCUAGAGACUGUCAUACAGAGUGAAGUAAGUCAGAAAGAGAAAAACAUAUUAUAUAUUAACGCAUAUAUGUGGAACCUAGAAAAAUGGUACAGAUGAACCAGUUUGCAGAGCAUAAAUAGAGACACAGAUGUAGAGAACAAACGUAUGGACACCAAAGGGGGAUAGUGGUGGGAGGGGUGGUGGUGGUGGGAUGAAUUGGGAGACUGUGAUUGACAUGUAUUCACUGAUGUGUGUAAAAUGGAUAACUAAUAAGAACCUGCUGUAUAAAAAAUAAAUAAAAAUUAAAAAAAAUAAGAGUAGGAAAAAAAAUAAAGAAAUCAGAACAUUUCCUCACACCAUAUACAAAAAUAAACUCAAAAUGGAUUAAAGAUCUAAGUGUAAGACCUGAAACCAUAAAACUCCUAGAAGAAAACGUAGGCAGAACACUUUUUGACAUAAGUCAUAGCAAUAUUUUUUUUGGCUCUAUCUCCUAAGGCAAAAGAAAUAAGAGCAAAAACACAGUUUCCAUUUUAAAGAACCAGAUAUUUCAGAAAGGACUGGUCCUGGAGGCAGUGUGGUAUUCCAAUGCCCAUGGUAUGGCUGAAGCUCCGGGGACAAAAUGGAGACCACCCCACCCUUCUAAGGGCACAGCUGCCUCUCAGCACCAGUCCUGUUUCCAGGAAAGGCUGUGGACCCAGUUUUGACAGAUCUUCCAAUUUUUCAAGAGAAGCUAUAAAACAUAAUUUGAUAUAAAAUCUUUUUAUUUUUAAAUAUUAGCAACUUUUUUUUUUUUGGCCACACCGCGUGGCUUGCAGGACCUUAGUUCCCUGACGGGGGAUUGAACUCGGGCCAUGGCAGUGAAAGCACUGAGUCCUAACCACUGGACCUCCAGGGAAUUCCCAUUAGCAACUAAUUUAAACACUGCAUAGACCAAAUAUAUCUGGUGGUUCCAUGGCUUUGAACUCUUUUAUGAUUACAUAUUAAAAUUUUCUGUAUAUAAUUGGUUCUAUUGUUUGCCUUAAAGACCUUUGCGAUUCUUUUUGCCACAUCCUCAUCAAAAUUCCCCCUUGUACUUUCUAAUAUGUCCUAUCAUCACAAGUACACUCUGUUCCCACUGUCUUAAAUCCCAGGCAGAUGGAAGAUACAACACCUGCCAAUUCUUGUCUUUCCUGCUUUGUUUCGUUAAACCCUAAAAUCAGCAUAUUGUUAAACAACUUCACAUAUAUCAGUCCCAGGUCUUUCCCUAAGGCUGAUAAGAUUUGAUAAAACUAGUUUAGCUGCACCCUAUGUUAUACUACAAAGGCCUCAGAGUAUUUGUCUCCCCCAAGCCCCGGUAAUUAAACAUUUGUCCUUUAUGAAUCUUGGGAUUUAUAGGACUUAUGCUUUUUUCUUUUUAAUUAAUUUAUUUAUUUUUGACUGCAUUAGGUCUUCGUUGCUGCGUUAGGUCUUCAUUGUGGCCCGCAGACUUUCUCUAGUUGCGGUGAGCGGGGACUACUCUUCGUUGCAGUACGCGUGCUUCUCAUUGGGGUGGCUUCUCUUGUUGCGGAGCACGGGCUAUAGGCGUGUGGGCUUCAGUAGUUGUGGCGUGCAGGCUUCAGUAGUUGUGGCACACGGGCUCUAGAGUGCAGGCUCAGUAGUUGAGGUGCAUGGGCUUAGUUGUUCCGCGGUGUGUGGGAUUUUCCCAGACCAGGGAUCAAACCUGUGUCCCCUGCAUUGGCAGGCAGAUUCUUAACCACUGCGCCACUAGGGGAGUCCCCUUAUACUUUUUUUUAAUUUUUAUUUUAUAUUGAAGUAUAGUUGAUUUCCAAUGUUGUGUUAGUUUCAGGUGUACAGCAAAGUGAUUCAGUUAUACAUAUAAAUAUAUCUAUUCUUUUUCAGAUUCUUUUCCCAUAUAGGUUAUUACAGAGUAUUGAGUAGAGUUUCCUGUGCUAUACAGUAGGUCCUUGUUGAUUAUCUAUUUUAUAUACAGUAGUGUGUAUAUGUUAAUGACAACCUCCUAAUUUAUCCCUCCCCCGUCACCUUUCCCCUUUGGUAACCAUAAUUUUGUUUUCUAAGUCUGAGGACUGAUGCUUUUUACACUGUGGCAGUGUUGUUUCACUGAAAGCUCUUCUUUCCCUGACAGAAAAUGUUCAUGGUUUCUUCAUGUAUUUACUUUUUACUUUUUUUUUUUUUUUUGCGGUACGCGGGCCUCUCACUGUCAUGGCCUCUCCCGUUGCGGAGCACAGGCUCCGGACGCGCAAGCUCAGCGGCCAUGGCUCACGGGCCCAGCCGCUCCGCGGCACGUGGGAUCUUCCCGGACCGGGGCACGAACCCGUGUCCCCUGCAUUGGCAGGCAGACUCCCAACCACUGUGCCACCAGGGAAGCCCUUUUUACUAUUUUUUUUAAAAAUUGUGGUAAAAUAUGUAUAUCCUCAGUUUUGUCAUUUUAAAUAUUUUUAUGUGUACAGUUCAGUGGCAUUAAGUGUAUUCACAAUGUUGUGCAACCAUCACCACUAUCUGUUUCCAAAAUUUUUCAUCUCUCCAAAAAGAAAUUCUGUACCCAUUAAACAGUAAUUCCCUUUCCCUACUCCCCCAGCCCCUGGUAACUUCUAAUCUACUUUCUGUCUCUAUGAAUUUGCCUAUUCUAGUUAUUUCAUAUAAGUGAAAUCAUACAAUAUAUGUUAUUUUGUGUCUGGCUUAUUUCACUUAGUAUAAUGUUUUCAAGGUUCACCAAUACUGUGGCAUGUGUCAGAAGUUCAUUCGUUUUUAUGGCUGUAAGAUAUUUAAUUGUAUAUCACAUUAAAUGUAUAUAUCACAUUUUGUUAAUCCAUUCGUUUGUUAAUGAACAUUUGGAUUGUUUCUACGUUUUGACAAUUGUGAAUAAUGCUGCUAUGAACAUUGGCACUGAGUCCCUGAUUUCAAUUCUUAUGGGUUUAUACUUAGGAAUGGAAUUACUGGGCCAUAUGAUACUUCUAUGUUUAACUUUUCAAGGAAUCGCCAAACUGUUUUCCACAGCAGCUGUACCAUUUUACAUUCCCAGCAAUACAUGAGGUUUCCACUCUCUCCACAUCUUCCCUGACAUUUAUUUUUUAUAAUUUUUUUUGUUUUUCGGUACGCGGGCCUCUCACUGCUGUGACCUCUCCCGUUGCGGAGCACAGGCUCCGGACGCGCAGGCUCAGCGGCCAUGGCUCACGGGCCCAGCCGCUCCGCGGCAUGUGGGAUCUUCCCAGACCGGGGCAUGAACCCAUGUCCCCUGCAUCAGCAGGCGGACUCUCAACCACUGCGCCACCAGGGAAGCCCUAUUUUUUUUAAUUUUAUUGUAGCUCUUCUAAUGGGUGUAAAGUGAUAUCUCAUUGACAUUUUGAUUUGUAUUUCUUGAUGGCUAAUGAUGUUGAGCAUCUUUUCAUAUGUUUAUUGGUCAUUUGUCUAUCUUCUUUGUAGAAAUGUCUAUUCAAGUCCUUUGAUCAUUUUAAAAUCGGGUUGUUUGUUUGUGGUUUAUUUUGAACUUAAGGGUUUUGAAGGCCUCACCGCUGUAGGUCACAGGCAGUCAGUCUGCACUUUGAAGAGUUUAUUUACAACCUAGAGUUACUCGCAACCUAAGAAGAUAGACUCUGGUAUCAAGGUUUGUCCAUUUUUAAAUUCGGGGCUCACUGGAGGAACUGAUCGCUCAGCCAUAGAGUUUGUCCCUCUGGUCCUAUCAUAUCAUAAGAUAGAUGAACCAAAAGUAAAAUUAAAAUAAAAACAAACAGGGAAUUCCCUGGUGGUCCAGUGGUUAGGACUCUGCUUACACUGCCGGGGGCCCGGGUUCAAUCCCUGGUCGGGGAACUAAGAUCCUGCAAGCAGCAUGGCAUGGCCAAUAAAUAAAUAAAUAAAUAAAAAUAAAAUAUAAAAGCAGACAGAAGCAGAGGAUAGGAUUUGAAAUUAGUCUAUUUUACUGUUCCUCAUUCAUCAGUUUAACAAAUAUUUCUUGAGAACUUUAUAAGCAACAGGCACUGUGCUAGGUACUGGGGGUACAGUGGUCAGUGACACAGAUGUGGGUCAUGUGGGAGGCAGGAUAAUCGUCCCCAAAGCUGUCCACAUCCUAAUCCUGGAACCUGUGAAAUAUGUCACCUUACAUGGCAAAAGGGACUUUGCAGAUGUGAUUAAGUUAAGGAUUUUGAGGUGGAGAGGUUAUUCUGAAUUAUCUUGGUGGGCCCAGUGUAAUUAUAAGUGUCCUUAGAAGAGAGAGGCAGGAGGAUCAGAGUGGGAGAAGAUGGAAGCAGAGUUAGAGAUUCGAAGACACAAUGCUGCUGGCUUUGAAGGUGGAAGAAGAGGCCAUGAGCCAAGGAAUGCAAGGUCGCUUAUCAAAGCUGGAAAAGGCAAGGAAGCACAUUCUCCCAGAGCCCCUGGAAGGAAUGCAGUCCUGCCAACCCCUUGACUUUAGGACUUCUGACUUCUAGAACUGUAAGAUAAUGGAUUUGCCUUUUUCUAGGCACUAAGUUUGUGAUAAUUUGUUAUAGCAGCAGUAGGAAGCUGACACAGUUCCUCAUCCCCCCCCCCCAUACAGGACACUGAGGUGUGGUGGGCAGCAAUCAGCACACCUGGGUCUGACUCGUGUCAGUGUCUAGUAGCCGUGUGACUUGGGGGAAAGUUCCUUUAUCACACUGAGACUCAUUUUCCAUGUCUAUAAAAUGGGGAUAGCAAUGUCUGCCUCACAAAGUUGUUGUAAGAAGUAGAGAUAAGUUAUGUAAAACAGUGGGCAUUUAGUAGGCUCUUAGUAAGCGGAAGCUAUUAUUUUUGCCAUCACUGUUUAUUUUCUUUUAAAUGCUUUCCUUUUUUUUUUUUUUUUUUUUUGCGCUACGUGGGCCUCUCACUGCUGUGGCCUCUCCUGUUGCGGAGUACAGGCUCCGGACGCGCAGUCUCAGCGGCCAUGGCUCACGGGCCCAGCCGCUCCGCGGCAUGUGGGAUCUUCCCAGACUGGGGCACGAACCCGUGUCCCCUGCAUCGGCAGGCGGACUCUUAACCACUGUGCCACCAGGGAAGCCCCAAAUGCUUUCCUUUAAUUAGGGAAGAAGAUGGGAAAUCAAAGACAUGGACCUUAUUUAGAAUUAGGAUGUUGGAAGGGGAAGGGAUUACAAAAUGCUUACGUGGGGGUAAUUAGGCGAGAUUCUCUUCUAGGGAGCAAGGCAGUGGCCCCAGCUGCCCUUCCUGCUCACUUUUCCUCUCUCUUAGUGACACUAUCCUGCUGCUCUGCCUCCAGGUAUCAUACACAAGGAUUCUCUUCAUCCCUUUUUUUUUUUUUUACUGCCAUCAAACCCUGCUUCCUUUUCUCCAUCUAAACCCACCCACAAGGCAGGCCCUUGUUUUGUUUAUCCUUCUCAGUCAUGAUUCAGGUCAUUUUGGUUAUAUUUGUUCAUAUUUGGUCAUGUUUGCUUUCUUUAUGCCAUGUUGAUACACAGUCCAGAUUGAUCUCCAGUCCUUGGUCAUAAAUUGUAAUGAGUGUGUCUUCCUUCUCAUAAAGGACAGGCUCCAGCAGCCAGUUCUGCACUGGGUAUCUCAUUUUCUCUGCCUAUAGUAGCUCAUUGGCCAGGAUGGACACCUUACCCAAGCCAGGAAUUAGAAUUUGUGAUCUAAUCAGCCCUGACUCAGAACUAAUUGGAACCAUAUCUAUCAAUUACUCUCUCAGGAGAGUGGUAACAGCUAUAUAACACCAGGGGAGGGGGAGGGGAGGAAAGAAGAGCUCAACAGACAUGCAAGAUGGCCCAAUGCCUCUGCAGUUUCGUCUUCUACAGCUUUACUGUAUUUCUGUCUUCAGAUUCCAUAAGAAAGGACUAUACAUAUCCUUAUACAUUAUACAUAGUGUACAUGCAUAGAAUAUACAUAUACAUAAAUAUGCAUAUCCAUGAACAUGUAUAUAGCAUAUACAAAUACAUAUUGAAAUAAAUUUCUGGGCCACUCCUUCCCAGGGUACCAUGUCAGCAAAUGGAAAUUUAGAUAACUUUCAUGGCCCCGUAAAUGCUCCAUGUGAUCAGAUGCAGCAUAUCCAGUCAGCCAACCCCCAAGUGCCAAUCCAGCUCUGGGCUCUAUACUUAUUUCCUUCUUCCUUCUCACCCCGAACAAGGUUGACUGUGUGGCCCCAGUUCAUCAGAUAUUUUCUAUUUUUCUCUUCUUUGUUCUUUAUCCUAUGAAAGUUAUCUGCCUUCUGCCCCGUUUUGCAGUUCUCUGGACCCUUGGGAAUGGAGGCUGCCUGCUUCAUGAAGUGUUAAAUAAGGUUUGUUUGUAUCACCUAAAUUGUCUUCUUUAAUCAUUUUUAAUAUAUAUUUCUCACUUUUCCCUUCAGCCAACUUUAAAUGAAUUCUGUUAUGGCAACCAAAGUGUUUCAGCUAAUUUAAAAGUAAAGAUCUUUGGGGACAGUGAGCCCUAGAAUUAAUCCUAGAGGAAAACCAUGUAUAAAUGCUGCCAUACAUCCUCAUCUUAUUUUAUUGCUGAGACAGAAGCCUAAAAACUUUAAUGGCCAAUGUCCUCCAUCAUCAAAUGCCUUCAUCCAAGAGAAAGUCUUUGGAAAACCACACAAUGCAGUCAUUACCAACAUCGAACACUGAUAAAAGCAUUUUAUCGCUUCUUGAAAUGUAUAAAGAGAUAAGAUGAGUUCAGGAUGUCCACAGCCCUGGCCAACUGAUCUCAAUUUCUCUGUGUGUGGAAAAAAAAGAAGCAAUAAAAAUGACGCAUUCAAAGUUUCCUUCUUUCUUUCUUUCCCUUCCUCCCUUCCUUCUUUCUUUCCUUCUUUCCUUCUUUCUUUCUUUCUCUAUUCUUUCAGGCCCAAGUUAGCCUGAAAAGAGGCACUUUUGAACGAAGAUCCUCUCCAUGGGUGCAGACAUUAAUGUUUCGAAUACCUUGUAGGUUUGAUUUUUCACACUAAGCUAACUCACCAAACCAGGCAAGUCCUACCAUGUGUUUGUGCAGCCAAUACCCCCUGUAGGAAAGAUCCAAAGAUUGAGUGGGAAUAUGCUGAAUGCCUGCCUUGGGCCAGGCAUCUGACUUCUAUUCAUUCCUCACAGUUAUCCAGUGAGGAGGGUGGUGUUUUUUCCCAUAUUACAGGUAGAGAGCUGAGGUUCAGGGUGGUCAAGUAAUCUGUUCAGGAUCUCACAGAUAAAAUGUGGUGAAUUCCAUCUCAGUCUAGGGCCUGCAAAAUUUUUUUUAAUAUAUAUGUAUUUAUUUAUUUGAUUGCAUCAGGUCCUAGUUGUGGCAGGUCUGCAAUUCUUAGUAUACCAAGCACAACUUGAGAAGGACCUCAUUCCCAGGAAAAGAGUUGUAGAGUUUUCCCACUAGGUCUGGAACAGAGCUCACGCUAUUUAGCCUGUGUCAGGAAAGUACUCUGAACAUAUAUCCAAUGGACUUCCUAUGGUUCUGUUGCUAUGGAUUCUAGGUGUUAACCUAAAACAAUAAAACUGCUGGUUAUUUUACCAGCAAAACAAGUUUAUUCAGGAACAGCAAAGAAUUGCAAUUUGGGAAAUGCAACUAUGGUGAACCACAUGUAAGUCUUGUAAAGCGAAGGAGAGGAAACUCUUUUAUAGAGGAGAAGGGAAGUUGAGAGGGACUAUUAAAAACAAAAAGCCCAUUGGAAGAAACUUGGUGUUCUAAGUAUAGUGGCUUUUCAUUGGCUGACUUGUUGCCAUGCAAGGAGAAAAUCUUCCUCCUAAUGGUGGUACUAAAGUAGUGUAACUUCCUGCCUGAGAUGCAAGGUACGUCUCUUCCUGUUAGGAUCUGUGUUGAUGUCGAGUGGAACAUGCACAAGAGCUCCCCUUUCUGGCCUCCCAACUCCAUUUUAUUGAGGUUCCCCUUUAUUAAUUCUCACAAGGGUUCUACUUUCAGAGCUUAUUAUAACUGCCUUCUUUAGUGGUCAGUGAGAGCGUGAAGGGUUAGAUGGACAAGGCCUUGGGCUGGGGAGCAACCCAGUGUGGGGUUCUCAUCUCUGCUUCUGAUUCCUGUGCCUUUGAUUCCAAGUCCAUAACAAGGAAAUAAUAAUUCUUGUCCAUUCUGCCUCACAAAGGACAAAGAAGAAGAGAAGUCACUGCCAAGAGUGAGCCCACCAGUGGGCCAACACACUGAGGUCCAAUGUCCAAGGUCCCCUCUCACCCUUAGCAAGAUCCCUGUGAUGGCAGAAAAAAACGUGGCAGAUUAGAAAACUCAAGCAGAUGCCUCCUCUAAUGUCUAUGUGCUUCUCCUAGCCCUACAUACUAUAAGAGCUGCCCUUCCCUGGGGCAGGGGAGGGACCUAGCAAGACAAGCAAAAAUGUCCAAGCCUUAUCUAGGUCACCUUGAAGCAAGACAAGCAACUGUAUUUCCUUGAACACAGAAUAAAAGGACAGGGAUGAGAUUAAGUAGCAGGGAAAAAUUAAUUGCUCCCCUCCCCUGUGGCCUCCCAUAAAUGCUAUUAUAGCACUUAUAACUAUCUAUCUUAUUGUUUAUUUUCAUGCCUGUCUCCCUCUGAUAGUGAGCAACUUGUAGUCAGGGAUCUUUUCAUGUUACACAAGAAAAAUGUGAAUGCAUUUUCUGUGUUAAAUAAAAAUAAAAACAUUAUAGAGAAGCCUGAGGUCCUCUUUGACCCUCUUUUUGUUUAGCAUCCCCAAUCCCAGUCCUCUCCUGGGGAGUAACCUUACUUAGCAGGAUGAGUGUAGGUAUUUUUCUAUGUAUUUCACCGAAUGAGUGACAUACACAUAUGUAGCUUACACAAGUUCAAUUUCAGCCAAAACAGAACAAAACAAAUAAAACUCUGAGAGAGACAUUGUGAUUUAACUAGUACCAUUCCACACACUGAGUCAAUGGCCUGGAGAAGUGUGGGAUGAAUGACAGAAUCCCUCAGUUAAACUCAGGUCCCUCAGCUGUCCUGGUGCUUCUCAUAGUGUGACCAUUUCACCACCCUUGGGGAUGAUUUUAAAUAUUUUCAAGGGUAUUUCUGAUAAUACUUGAUUUUUGCCUUAGACAUUAACUUUUGGACCCAAUCCCUAUAAGAGUUGUACUACAUACACCCACGCGGGCUCCGUGACAUACCAUGGUGCCCAGUGCAAAAUCUGUAAUACAGCCAUAAAGUUAAUUCCUCUAUCGGGACCCACAAAAUGGAGGCAGCCCAGUGCCCGCCCCACCCCCACCCCACCCCCUCACCGCCAAAUCUAAACCUAAGUCAGCAGCACUUACGGGAAAUGCCUCACUGUCAAGGAAGCCUAACACCAAUCUCAGUCCUCCAGCUCAGCUUUAGCUGGUUUACCUGACCCUAGAAAAUAGGGCCUCCUAGCCAGUCAUGCCCUGUUUCGUGUUGCCACUUCUAAUGCAAAACUUGCUCUUGCCCAAAAUCCCUGGGAAGAGCAGUCCACUGCUGGUGAGGCCCUGUACUUCCCCAGUCCAUGCUUUCCCUGGAAUAAAGAGCAUCACACUAAAUUGUUUUAGUUUUGUCAUAUGACUCUAGGAUGAAUGCUCUGUAACUUUUUAGGACAGAGGAAAGGAAAGAAGGAACGAUCUUGGAGUGGUGGUACCUUACGAAAGAAGAAAAUCCUGGCUACAGAUUAUUCUGAGUAAUGGUAUUUCUGACUUUGCCGAGAUGAUAUCCAGAGGGAACCACCAUUCUGCUUAUGUGUAAUAGCACAGGACGCGCAGGCUCAGCAGCCAUGGCUCACGGGCCUAGCCGCUCCGCGGCAUGUGGGAUCUUCCCGGACCAGGGCACGAACCGCGUUCCCUGCAUCAGCAGGCAAACUCUCAACCACUGCGCCACCAGGGAAGCCCAGGAUUACUGUUUUAAUACAGUGUCUAUUUACAUUCUCCAAAAGAGGAUUAGAGGAUUCCUCAUAACAAUUUAGGAAAUGCUACCUAUGCCAUGCCGUUAUUGCUAAGUGCUACAGAAAGUAAUUAUUUACACAUAAUCCCUACAAUUAACAUUAUGCAGCACUGAUGCUGAAACACAGGAUAAUCAACCCGUGGCAAACAUCACCUGUCAUUCUAAAGCUCAGCCAUGAGCUGUGCAUCUGAAAAUGCAGACUGAGGAUUCAUGAAUGACAAAAACCUAGUACCUGUCCUGGAGGAGCCCAAGUCAAAGCGUCCAACAGGGCCUGUGCUUCAGUGGGGAAUAUGAGAUGAACACACGUCUCAGCUCCCAAGAGCACGCACUCUAGAGGGGCAGGCGAAUCGUGAACACGGACACUUUGUGCAGAGCAAGCUAAGAGCCCAUAGUGGCUGUUGGAACAGGUGGGCUUCUUUUUCUGAGAGUAGAGCAGGACGUUAUGUUAGAAUUUGAUUUUGGAGAAGGAGGAGGAAGGUACUAAAAGCAGAGAGCAGAGGGACUUCCCUGGUGGCACAGUGGUUAAGAAUCUGCCUGCCAAGGCAGGGGACAUGGGUUAGACCCCCGGUCCGGGAAGAUCCCACAUGCCACGGAGCAACUAAGCCCGUGCACCACAACUACUGAAGUCUGCGCGCCUAGAGCCGGUGCUCCACAACAAGAGAAGCCACCGCAAUGAGAAGCACAGGCACCGCAACGAAGAGUGGCACCCGCUCGCGGCAACUAGAGAAAGCCCAUGCACAGCAACGAAGACCCAACACAGCCAAAAAAAUAAAUAAAUAAAAUAAAUAAAUUUAUUUUUUAAAAAAGAGCAAGAGUAAGUGCAAAGCCAUGUAGCUGUGAAAGAAACUGAUGCGUUCAGGGAUGGCGACAAGUCAUGUGUGGUAGGAAAAGCAGAGCACAGGCACAGGAGCCGAGGCUGCAGAGGAGAGCAGGGACAGAUCAUGAGGGCUCUUACAUUGAGGAGCUCGGAACGUGAUGGGUAGACAAAGAGGCACAAACCGUAAGAAAUGUUUAAGCCCAGGAGUUCCACAGUCACAUUUGCAUUUUAAUAGAUCACUGAAGAAGCAGUGAGAACGAUUACAAAGGGCGAGAACAAAGGUAGGGGACCACUUAGAAGGCUACAGCAAUGACUUGACACAAGUAAUAUGAAAGCAUUUUCAUUCUCAAAAAUUUAAAUGUUACAGAAGCUCUUCCAGGAACAACACAUUAUCCUACUAAUGGAUAUUUAGGCUGUUACUAAUUUUCUUAUUAUAAACUAUGAACAUGCUUGUACAGAUAGUUGUUCAAUAAAUUGCUUAUGAAAAACACUGUGUCUUUAAAAAGCUAGAUAACCAUCAUCUUGUCAUGGCUAAACUGAUUUUUCCAGGAGUUAAGGGAUGUAUAAGAUGGUAAGGUAACUCUUUAAGAUUACUUCAGGACUGAGACCAGGAUUAUGGAGAACAAUACUCAGUCCAUCAGAAUCCAGUUUGAUGUAGGGAAGAACUCUCACAGCUCUGAUUCUGGUCUGAAUGCUUGUGUCUUCCUCAAAUUCAUAUGUUUAAAUCCUGACCCCCAAUGUGAUGAUAUUAGGAGGCUGGGCCUUUGGGAGGUGAUUAGGUCUUGAGGAUGGAGCCCUCAUGAAUGGGAUUAGUGUCCUUAUGAAAGGGACUGCAGAGCUCUCUUGCCCUUUCCACCAUGUGAGGGCACAGCAAGAAAGAAGCUGGUGUCUAUGAACCAGGAAGAGAGCUCUCACCAGACACUGAAUCUUGGACUUCCAGCCUCUAGAACUGUGAGAAAUAAAUGUUUGUUGUUUAAGCCACCCAGUCUAUGGUAUUUUUGUUAUAGCAGUCCAGACAGACUAAGACAGCUCUCAUGGACAUGCUUGGGAAGCAAAGGUGAAUAGGAUGAAAAUGUGAUUUAUUUUUCCUCUGAGGCCUGGACCUAAAGAAGAAGCUGGUGACAAAGGGGAGAAAUUGGGCUGAAUGGAAGAGACUUUUCAGAGCUCACACAUGAAGCUGAUGGACCACGCAGCACCCAGGAGGUAAUGUCCCACUGGGUCCUGGAAGGUCAUUUGGACAUUUGAGGCUUAAAACAAGUACUCUCCACUUUUCCCUCUCUGUGGCAACUCUCUUCCUAGUGGCUUCUUGUUAACACUCGAAACAACUGAAACCCUUCCAAGGUCUGGGUCAGGUUUGUUUGGGGUCACAUCUUCCUCAGUUUCUGUACCUAACAGAUCGGUGUUAAUUCUUUGCUGAAAGCCCUGCAAGGAUCAAGAUUUCCCAGUAUCUUCCCUGUAGACUCAUCUCAGGGUCUCCCAUACUUUCAUAGUCAGGGAGACACCCCAUGUCUCCCACCUAAAGCUGAGCUCAGGGUUCUUUGUUCAGAUUUUAGAAACAAGGAUGAGGACAGGAGGUCAGUUGUGAUAUUAGAGUUAUGGCAUCACAGGAGGCUGGAACUCAAGAUGGGCAGAGAAGCUUUUGAGCACUGCUCUAGGCUAAACUGUCUGAAGCUCUGAGUAUGUGCAGAUUUAAUAAUGGUUAGUUCUUUAGUCAUAUAGUAAAAAAUUAUUUCACUCGAGAGAACAAAGGAUUCCUAGGAAGUGUCUUAAAACUGUAGUGGUGGAUCCAUUUUUGAAUUCUCUUUUCUGCCCUUUUUUUUUUUUAAAGUUUUUUUUGUUGUAGACCAUCUUCAAAGUCUUUAUUGAAUUUGUCACAAUAUUGCUCCUGUUCUAUGCCUUGGUUCCUUGACCCUGAGGCUCCCAGCUCCCCAACCAGGCAUCCAACCCUCACCCCCCCACACUAGAAGGUGAAGUCCCAACCACUGGACUGCCAGGGACGUCCCUUUCCUCACUUCUUAAGCUACACACAAGUGAUGUGAAAGCACGACACAGGCAUAAGUUGGGGAGAUGUGGCUGGAACCUCUUUGACCUGGGACCAAGCAACACUUAAGUAUGAAAUUUUCCUCGUCAUGGAUACUUGAAACAAAUGCCUUCCUUCUUGGUCCUCAUUGCUAAAGAAUUAUGGCUAUAGGGACUAUAAUUACCAUCUGGCCCACAUCUCCUGCCAGAUCUUCCUUACAGCCAGUCUGUGCCAACUAUAACAACCUUUUGUAAGAAGGAGGUUCCACAAACGCUGAGGAAAACUGUUUCAAAUGACUAACAGCCCACACUUAAAGAAAAUUUCAUUUCCUCCAAUUUGCAGAAGGGAAAAGUCACAGGAAAGCACAUGACAUGGUCAAAGUAGAUUCAGCCAAAGAGGUUUUUACCUACCUGCAGCUCUGUUAUUAAGUUUGGAUCAUGGAUGGGUCCCUCUAAGGCCCUCCCUUGUCUUAUCCCAUUUUCUCUCUACUGUUGGAGAAGAGAAGAGCCCAGUCCUCUUGACUGUGUUUCAGGUGUGUGUUCUCACGUCUCCAAAUAGAUUGGGAGAUUUGGGAUAGCAGAGACCACACUGUUUCAGCUCAGCCACUAACUUGUUGGAUAAUUUUUUUUUUUGGCAGUACAUGGGCCUCUCACUGUUGUGGCCUCUCCCGUUGUGGAGCACAGGCUCCGGAUGCACAGGCUUAGCGGCCAUGGCCCACGGGCCCAGCCACUCCGCGGCAUGUGGGAUCCUCCCGGACCAGGGCACAAACCCGCGUCCCCUGCAUUGGCAGGCGGACUCUCAACCACUGCGCCACCAGGGAAGCCCUUUUUUUCUUUUUUAAUUUGGGUAAUUCUUUAAGAUUAAGGCUGCUAGAACAUAGGAUAGAGAAAUGCUGUAGCCACAGGAUUUCAGCCGAAUCUCUUUUGUAACAGCCUUUCAAAUUAGGUGGAGAAAUAUAAGCUGGGUGAGAAUGGAGGGACUCCACCACACCAAACGGUUCUGAUUGAUUGGAUACAUGUGAAUCCAGAGGGAAGACUCUACCAGGCUCUGUCCUGGUCAAAAUUUUGCCCAUGACUUGAAUGAGUACAGGUGACAACCUGAUGAAUCUGCAAAGGACAUGAAGCCAAACUGGUGGCCUAUGGGUCGACUCUGGUCACAAACACUUUUUGUUUUGAU
Orcinus orca (killer whale) is the source of this 17615-nucleotide long non-coding RNA. RefSeq lists it as uncharacterized. Lineage: Eukaryota; Metazoa; Chordata; Mammalia; Artiodactyla; Delphinidae. The transcript is spliced from 4 exons. The record is from RefSeq and is a predicted model, not a curated record.